Molecule: ribosomal RNA, 34 nt
Filed under: Uncinaria sanguinis
Lineage: Eukaryota; Metazoa; Nematoda; Chromadorea; Rhabditida; Ancylostomatidae
Description: partial 28S ribosomal RNA
Source: RNAcentral
CAACCUGAGCUCAGGCGUGACUACCCGCUGAACU